CCUACGGGUGGCAGCAGUGGGGAAUAUUGUGCAAUGGGGGAAACACUGACGCAGCACCGCCGCGUGAGUGAGGAAGUAUCUCGGUAUGUAAAGCUCUAUCAGCGGGGAAUAAAGAGGACGGUACCCGACUAAGAAGCCACGGCUAACUACGUGCCAGCAGCCGCGGUAAUACGUAGGGGGCGAGCGUUAUCCGGAUUUACUGGGUGGAAAGUGAGCGUAGACGGCGUCGCAAGUCUGAAGUGAAAGCCCGUGGCUCACACGCGGAACCGCUUUGGACACUGCGAGGCUGGAGUGCUGGAGAGGUCAGCGGAAUUCCUGGUGUAGCGGUGAAAUGCGUAGAUAUCCGGAGGAACACCGGUGGCGAAGGCGGCGUACUGGACAGUGACUGACGUUGAGGCUCGAAAGCGUGGGGAGCGAACAGGAUUAGAUACCCUUGUAGUC
This 441-nucleotide ribosomal RNA is filed under the name uncultured bacterium. RNAcentral's name for it is "partial 16S ribosomal RNA". It matches the Rfam family "Bacterial small subunit ribosomal RNA", at positions 338 to 795 of the family's 1533-position model. The record is from RNAcentral.